GACGAACCGAGCGAACGUUGUUCGGAAUCACUGGGCUUAAAGGGCGCGUAGGCGGGCAUUCAAGUCUAUGGUGAAAUCCGGCAGCUCAACUGUCGAACUGCCGUGGAUACUGGAUGUCUCGAGGGAGGUAGGGGCGUGCGGAACUGAUGGUGGAGCGGUGAAAUGCGUUGAUAUCAUUAGGAACUCCGGUGGCGAAGGCGGCACGCUGGACCUCUUCUGACGCUGAGGCGCGAAAGCCAGGGGAGCAAACGGG
RNAcentral lists this ribosomal RNA (253 nucleotides) under uncultured bacterium. Its description in RNAcentral is "partial 16S ribosomal RNA". It matches the Rfam family "Bacterial small subunit ribosomal RNA", at positions 524 to 776 of the family's 1533-position model. The record is from RNAcentral.